Molecule: long non-coding RNA, 3032 nt
Organism: Mirounga angustirostris (Northern elephant seal)
Lineage: Eukaryota; Metazoa; Chordata; Mammalia; Carnivora; Phocidae
Exons: 5
Source: RefSeq, a predicted model, not a curated record
UUUUUUUUUUUUUUUUUUUUUUUUUUUUUUUUUUUUUUUUUUUUUUAAGAUUUAUUUAUUCAUUUGAGAGAGCGAGAAUGAGAGAGAGUACAUGAGAGGGGGGAGGGUCAGAGGGAGAAGCAGGCUCCCCGCAGAGCAAGGAGCCCGAUGCGGGACUCGAUCCCGGGACUCCAGGACCAUGACCUGAGCCAAAGGCAGUCGCUCAACCAACUGAGCCACCCAGGCGCCCCUAGGCGUACCUUGUUUUGUUGCACUUGCUUUAUUGUGCUUCACAGAUACUGCAUUUUUUUUUUUUUUUUUUUUUUUUUUUACAAAUUGAAGGUUUUGGCAAUCCUGUGUCAAGCAAGUCUUGGCACCAUUUUUCCAACAGCAUUUGCUCGCUUCAUGUCUCUGUGUCACAUUAUGGUAAUUAUUGCAAUAUUUUAAGUUUUUUUAUUAUCACUAUAUUUCUUUGUAUCUAUGAUCACUCAUCUUUGAUGUUGCUAUUGGAAUUAUUUGGGGGAAUCACAAACCAUGUCUGUGUAAGACCGUGAACUUAAUAAAUGUAUGUGUUCUGGCUGUUCCACUCACUGGCUGUUCCCCAGUCUCUCCUUGGGCUUCCCUGUUCCCUGAGACACAACAAUAUUGAGAUUAGGCCAAUUAAUAACCCACAAUGACCACAAAGUGUUCAAGUGAAAGAAGAGUUGCACAUCUCUGACUUUCGAUUAAAAGCUAGAACUGAUUAAGCUGACUGAGGAAGGCAUGACAAAAUCUGAGGUAGGUGGAAAGUUAGGCCUCUUGUACCACAGCCAAAUUGUGAAUGCAAAGGAGAAUUCUUGAGGGAAAUUAGUGAACACAUGAAUGCUAAGAGUGAAACAGCCUUAUUGCUGAUAUGGAGAAAGUGUUAGUGGUCUCAACAGAAGAUCAAACCAGCCACAAUAUUCCCUUAAGCCAAAGCCUAAUCCAGAACAAGACCCUAACUCUUCAAUUCUAUGAGGACUGAGAGAUGAGGAAGGUGCAGAAGAAAAGUUUGAAGUUAGCAGAGGUGGGUUCGUGAGGUUUAAGGGAAGAAGCCGUCUCCAUAACAUCAAAGUGCAAGGGGAAGCAGCAGGUGCUGAUGGAGAAGCUGCAGCAAGUGAUGCAGAAGAUCGAGCUAAGAUAACUAAUGAAGGUGUCUACACUAAACAGAUACUCAGUGUAGACGAGAAACAACCUUCUAUUGGAAGAAGAUGCCAACUAGGACUUCCACAGCUAGAGAGAAGUCAAUGCCUGACUUCCAAGCUUCAAAAGACAGGGUAUUAGGGGUUAAGGCAGCUGGUGGCUUUAAGUUGAAGCUAAUGCUCAUUUACCAUUUGAAAAAUCCUUAAGAAUUAUGUUAAAUCUACUGCGUUUGUGCUCCAUAAAUGGAAUAAGAAAGCCUGGAUGACAGCACAUCUGUCUGUAACCUGGUUUACUAAAUAUUUCAAGCCCACUGUUGAGACCUCCUGCUCAGAAAGAAAGAUUUCUUUCAAAAUAUUACUGCUCAUUGACAAUGCACCUGGUCAUCCAAGAGCUCUGAUAGAGCUAGACGACAAGAUUAACGUUUUCAUGCCUGCUAACACAACAUCCAUUUUGCAGCCAUGGGUCGUGAAGUAAUUUUGACUUUCAAGCCUUAUUUAGGAAAUAGGUUUUGUAAGGCUUUAGCUGCCAUAGCUAGUGAUUUCUCUGAUGGAUCUGGGCAAAGUAAACUGAAAACCUUCAGAAAAGGAUUGACGAUUCUAGAUGCCAUUAAGAACAUUUGGGAUUCAUGGGAAGAAAACAAAAUAUCACCAUUAACAGGAGUUUGAAAGAGGUUGAUUCCAGCACUCAUGGAUGACUUGAAGGGGUUCAAGACUUCAGUGGGGCGGGGCGCAUGGGUGGCUCAGUCGGUUAAGCGUCUGCCUUCGGCUCAGGUCAUGAUCCCAGGGUCCUGGGAUCGAGCCCCGCAUUGGGCUCUCUGCUCGGCAGGAGGCCUGCUUCUCCCUCUCCCACUCCCCCUGCUUGUGUUCCCUCUCUCGCUGUCUCUGUCUCUGUCAACUAAAUAAAUAAAACACUUAAAAAAAAAAGUUGCUGCUUCUGGAUGAGCAAAGAAAGUGGUCUCUUGAGAUGGGAACUACUCCUGGUGAAGAUGCCGUGAAGAUUGUUCAAAUGACAACAAAGGACUGAUUAAUAUCACAUAAACUUAGUUGAUAAAGCAGUGGUAGGAUUUGGGAGGACUCACUCCAAUUUUGAAAGAAGUUCUACUAUAGGUAAAAUGCUAUCAAACAGCAUCACAUGCUACAGAGAAAUCAUUUGUGGAAGUAAGAGUCAACCCGUGUGGCAAAGUUCAUUGUCUUAUUUUAAGAGCUACCACAGUCACCCUAGACUUCAGUGACACCACCCUGAUCAAGUCAGCGGCCAUCAACAUUGAAGCAGGGACCCCCCCCCACCACCAAAAAAAUUACAACUUGCUGAAAGCUCAAGUGAUGGUUAGCACUUCUCAGCAAUAAGGUGUUUUUUGUUUGUUUUUUAGAGAGAGCAGGAGCAGUGUGGGGGGGGAGGGACAGAGGAAGAGGAAGAGAGAGAAUCUUAAGCAGAUGCCAUGCCCAGCCUGGAGCCGGACGUGGGGCUCGAUCUCACAACCCUGAGAUCAUGACCUGAGCCGAAAUCAAGAGUUGGACUUGAUAAACUCAAGUUAAUUAUGAGCCACCCAGACACCCUGCAAUAAGGUUAUUUCUUAAUUAAGCGCUCUGGGACUCAACUCCACAAUAUCUCCAAGAUCUUUUUCAGAAGGAAGUGAUUCAUAUGUAGCUGUAGAUUUGGUGUGUCCAUGUGAGGAGGCUGGGGGUGGAAGUGUAACCUGAGUUUGUCCAACCAAAUGCUCCUCGGAGCCCAAGCACGUACGGCAAGGACAGAGAAACGCAUCUUCCCCAGGAGUUGAUUCUACCUCAAGAAACGACUUUCUGUGCUCAUCCAUAAGAUGUGACUCCUCAUCCGUUCAAGUUUUAUCAUGAGAUUGCAGCAAUUCAAAAUAAUAAUAAUGAACAAGUUUGAAA